AUUGAACGCUGGCGGCAUGCCUUACACAUGCAAGUCGAACGGCAGCACGGGUGCUUGCCCCUGGUGGCGAGUGGCGAACGGGUGAGUAAUACAUCGGAACAUGUCCUGUAGUGGGGGAUAGCCCGGCGAAAGCCGGAUUAAUACCGCAUACGAUCUACGGAUGAAAGCGGGGGACCUUCGGGCCUCGCGCUAUAGGGUUGGCCGAUGGCUGAUUAGCUAGUUGGUGGGGUAAAGGCCUACCAAGGCGACGAUCAGUAGCUGGUCUGAGAGGACGACCAGCCAAACCGGGACUGAGACCCGGCCCAGACUCCCAAGGGAGGCAGCAGUUGGGAAUUUUGGACAAUGGGCGAAAGCCUGAUCCAGCAAUGCCGCGUGUGUGAAGAAGGCCUUCGGGUUGUAAAGCACUUUUGUCCGGAAAGAAAUCCUUGGCCCUAAUACGGUCGGGGGAUGACGGUACCGGAAGAAUAAGCACCGGCUAACUACGUG
RNAcentral lists this ribosomal RNA (486 nucleotides) under uncultured bacterium. Its description in RNAcentral is "partial 16S ribosomal RNA". It matches the Rfam family "Bacterial small subunit ribosomal RNA", at positions 30 to 507 of the family's 1533-position model. The record is from RNAcentral.